AGAGUUUGAUCAUGGCUCAGGAUGAACGCUGGCGGCGUGGAUAAGGCAUGCAAGUCGAGUGGGUUUAGACCCACGGCAGACGAGGUAGUAACACGUAGGUACGCACCCUUUAGUCGGGCAUAACUAGCCGAAAGGUUAGAUAAUUCCCGAUGGUCUCGUAAGAGUAAAGAUUUAUCGCUAAAGGAGCGGCCUGCGUAGUAUCAGCUAGUUGGUAAGGUAACGGCUUACCAAGGCUAUGACGCUUAGGGGAGGUGAGAGCCUGACCCCCACCGAUGGAACUGAGAUACGGUCCAUACACCUACGGGUGGCUGCAGUCGAGAAUCUUCCGCAAUGGACGAAAGUCUGACGGAGCGACGCCGCGUGGUUGAUGAAGUCCUUCGGGAUGUAAAAACCUUUUAUAGACUAGAAAGUUUAUUGAUCAGUCUAUGAAUAAGGGGUUGCUAAACUCGUGCCAGCAGCAGCGGUAAUACGAGUGCCCCGAGCGUUAUCCGGAAUUAUUGGGCGUAAAGGGUGUGUAGGUUGUUGUGUUAGUCUUUUGUUAAAUUCUUCGGCUUAACCGGGGACAUGCAAAGGAAACGGCACGACUAGAGGAUGCGAGAGGUGAAUGGAACUCAUGGAGUAGGGGUGAAAUCCGUUGAUAUCAUGGGGAACACCAAAAGCGAAGGCAAUUCACUGGCGCACUCCUGACGCUGAAACACGAAAGCGUAGGUAGCGAAUGGGAUUAGAUACCCUAGUAGUCC
Molecule: ribosomal RNA, 740 nt
Filed under: uncultured bacterium
Lineage: Bacteria
Description: bacterial SSU rRNA
Rfam family: Bacterial small subunit ribosomal RNA
Source: RNAcentral